UACGUAGGGUGCGAGCGUUGUCCGGAAUUAUUGGGCGUAAAGGGCUCGUAGGCGGUUUGUCGCGUCGGGAGUGAAAUCCACUGGCUUAACUGGUGGCUUGCUUUCGAUACGGGCAGACUGGAGGUAUGCAGGGGAGAACGGAAUUCCUGGUGUAGCGGUGAAAUGCGCAGAUAUCAGGAGGAACACCGGUGGCGAAGGCGGCAUCCUGGACCGAUACUGACGCUGAGGAGCGAAAGCGUGGGAGCGAACAGG
RNAcentral lists this ribosomal RNA (252 nucleotides) under uncultured bacterium. Its description in RNAcentral is "partial 16S ribosomal RNA". It matches the Rfam family "Bacterial small subunit ribosomal RNA", at positions 524 to 776 of the family's 1533-position model. The record is from RNAcentral.